GUGCUUGCUUUGGCAGCACAUAUACUAAGAACUGGAAUGAAACAGAAGAGAGUAGCAUGGCCCCUACACAAGAAUGACACACAAAUUCAUGAAGCGUUUCAUAUUUUA
Panthera leo (lion) is the source of this 108-nucleotide small nuclear RNA. Lineage: Eukaryota; Metazoa; Chordata; Mammalia; Carnivora; Felidae. The record is from Ensembl.